AUAAAAACGUUGACGGGCAAUAGUAUUAAACGGAAGUUUCUCAGAGAGCCGGUGGUCGCUGCGAACCGGUAAACAUUCGAUUAAGAAUCCAGCCUUGAGUGAAGAGCGGAACGAGGAGUGUUUGCUUCUUAACUAAGUUCUUUCGUAUCCCCUACGUUAUUGGGCUUGAGCUGGUUGGUCUUUUAUGGACCAACAACGAGGGUGGCAUCGCGGUUUAACCGUCCCUGUU
RNAcentral lists this non-coding RNA (229 nucleotides) under Geomicrobium sp. RNAcentral's name for it is "T-box sequence". It matches the Rfam family "T-box leader". From Rfam's summary of the family: Uncharged tRNA acts as the effector for transcription antitermination of genes in the T-box leader family. Lineage: Bacteria; Bacillati; Bacillota; Bacilli; Caryophanales. The record is from RNAcentral.